UGAGCAUCAUCAAUGACUGGGCAAAAUUCCACUGGGCUCUUCUAGACUUUUUCCAAGGACUAUUUCUGGAAACAAACUUCAACAUUCCCAGAAAGUCACAUGAAGAGUUCACACCGAGUCUCAGAGGAGCCAAUGAACAAAAUCUGGGACUAUAAAGACCAUGAAGUCCUUUGAAGAGUGACUAAGCGCAUUGUACACCGAGAUGCACAGGAGCCUGUAGAAACUAAGACAUUUGGAGCAGCAGGAUGCCAUUGAGAAGAGGUUGGGAAUGUUAAAGCUGUAAGUUCCAGUCCAUUCUCAGAAAGCUAACCAAGAGACGUCUUGUAUCAGAUCAACUCUCAGAAUCAGAAGGUCUCAGAGGGCAUAAGAGUGGGCCAGUUCCUACGUAAGAGUUGGUCCUUCAGCAUGUGGUUGCAGAUUACAUCUCCAAGGCUGAGGCAGGAACCUGGCUGCUUCCUCCAGCUGGAGCACUGGGUCUUGAUCUGUUUGUGCUAGUGGUUUAGAGGAAAGCUACAGUCUUCCUCCUCAUCUUCUUCCAUUAGUGGCCCUAUGAGUGUGACUAUAGAGUCAUCAAUCUUCCGUCAAAGUCAGGGAUCCAGAGGCAGGAUCCAACUGAGAACUAGGCAGGUGAAACUGACAUGUAUGCAGUUUCAGGAGCUCCUUGCCUUAUGCAUGUAUUGUAGGUAAAGAACAGGGACCAAUCAGGGGAAAGCCUGCCAAACCCAGAGAAGAAAGGACAGCCAGAAACUACCCAGGACAGAGAAUCGGGUGGGGGGAGGGAUUCAAUCAGGUCUGCUGCUCUGUCCCCUAUCCCUCACUGCACUGCAGAGAAAGCUGGACAAGAAGGCAGGAGAUUAUGGUCCAAUCGCAAUCGCAACUGGAGUUUUCACCUGUGUUCAUUUCCCAGUGUUAUUUUUAAAAGUCUCCAGCUGUUGAUUCAACCUCCAGUUGGGGCUGCUAUUAUCUUUCCCUCUCCUUUCAACAUGAAUCCCUUGGGGCUAGAGGUAAAGAUGACUAGAAUGCCCUAUGAAAACCUCUGCCAUGGUAUAGAUGACUAGAAUACCCUAUGAAGAACCUCUGCCAUUUGCUACCUCCCUCUUCUGUUCUGGAAAGGCCCUGAGUCCUAGGAUAAAGAACACAUAGGAGCCACAGUUUCCCACAUGUGUCCUUGUUUGUUCUGUGUGCCCACAUAAAGCUUACCUUAACACAGUGUCCUCAGAGCCAUGGAGCGCGAUAUGCAGUAGCUGAGCACUUUAAAUCCAAGGAGAUGCAUGCCUGAGUGACUGAUCACUCUGCUCUUCCUCCCUCUCCAAGCUGGGUCUCCUGUCUCAUUUGUUGAUUUUUAUUUUCUCUCCCCCAUUACUUCCUAUUCCCACCUCAUACAACUCCCUCCUCACUAGGACAGUGUCUAGAUAAAACCUCCAAUUUACUUCACCCUGAGACUGUACAUAAUUCUGGUUUACCAAUAGACAAGGACAUGGGUAAAAGCAGAGAUAAAACCAAAUGUCAAGUUAUACCUGGCUUUCUCCUGUCAGUUGUUUUUAUAAAUCUCACCUUGCCCACUCAUUUUUGGGGGGACACCCUCAUUUGACAAAUCUGACAAACAUGAUGAGGGUUUGGAGGGUAAUAUGAAGCAGCAAAGUCUUAAGAGGCAUAUCCUACUUUUCCUCCCACCCCUACCCCCCCACCCCCGGGCUGGCCUGAACUAGAUUCUGAUGUCUCAAUGUGUUCGGGGACACUUUGAAAGGUCUUCUUUGAUAAACUGUAGGAGAAGCUUGUUUCUUCUGUGUAUACCCCACUGCUCCUGAGUAAGCAAAUACAUGGUUCAGUCAUAAAGCCUCUCUGGGCUUUGCUCAGAAUAGUUGUCCUCUCCUGCACAACAGGGGCAUUUGUCUCCCCUCUCUGCUCUCACUGGUCUUUAUCAGUUCAUAAAAUGUCAAAGGGAGGGUCACUGGCUCUGCUUCUGGGGGUACAGAGAGAAAGUGUCAGGGUCUUCAGCAGAAGAGAAAGAUGUCACCCCUGAGUUCCUAAUCUUUGCUUGCAUCUUAUAACCAUUGUCCUGAUGCCUGGUCCCUAAUAGGUGGUAUAAAACCAUAGUUUCUUUAAGCUUUUGUGUGUUAAAAGUUCUUUUAUGUCUUGGGUAUCAAACCCAUUAUCUUUCAUGGCUGCCACAAUUUCAGAGUCUUGGCAGCUGGUGUCUCCAUCACAGUGACUUGUUAAAGUCUCAUCGCCUUUCAUAGCCAUGGAUGCUGCCUCAUUGGAUUUUGUACAGUUGGCUUCUACUUAGCAUUCAUUGUUAAUAAUGGACUAAUAAUGCAUGCUUAGUAAAUCUUUGAGAAAGUUAUGUGGGAUGUCAUACUGCAUUUGCAAAACUUUUUUGCUAAGCUCUGAUAAGGUGGGCCCUGCAAAUGGAAUAGACCCCAGUUGCUAUAUAGGAUAAGAGGACACAAAAAGUCAAUUUUGGGAUCAUCAUAAGGAAUGCCCAGAAAGAAUUCUGUGAGGAAGGAAUAAACUGAAAUGUUGCAACAGGCUUGAAUCUUGCAACUACACAAGACUUUAUUAUUUUUACACUUCUGCUCCCAUUCCACUAACACAUUAUCAGAAAGCAGGUAUCUAUCUAUAAGCUGUAUCUUCAUCAGGGCAGCAGCCUACAGCAAGGAGAAUCUGUUGGAUUUUUUCUUUUUCCUCUUUCAGGAUGUUGGUCUUCUGGUUGUGAUAGUUUUUCUCCCUCAGUUACUUCCACGAUUUAAAAAGUAUUUUAUUUGGUUACUUAGAGGGGAAUGAUGUUGGGGUAUUUGAUUUUUUUCACAAUGGCCACCUCUGCAAUCGCUGCUUUGGAACCACUUCUCCUGCUUCAGCAAAACUUUCACAGUGACUGACUCACCUGUGAGACGAUGGGAGACUAAUUUAGCCUUGGCCUGAAAUAUUUAGGGUAGUGAUUAUGUCUUCAUCAAAGAUGAUGGGUACAGUGCUGGGCCCUGAUGUUGCCUCCCUUGCCACUGUACAUUGUAGGUGGGAAUGCUACGUCAAAAAGAGAACGUAGCAGAAGAAAUGAAGUCUGAAGCACAAGAAACAACUAAAACCAAAGAAAACCAACACUACAUUUAAACAAAAACUCAAUGCCAAGUGAAGAAAAAAAUGAAAAAGGAUAGAUAUGAAAGAAAUGGUACACUCUAAAAUAACCAGGAAAAAAUAUACAACAGGUAAAACCAGAAAAUGAAAACUAAAGUUCAGCUCAACCAAACAAAAAUGUUCAAAAAUCAAACCUAACUAAAUGCCAAAUUGUAGUAAAUUCCACAGAAUCCAGAGUAUUACUAGAGGCAAAGAAAUAUAUUACAAGGAAAAAAAGAGACUGAAAGAAAGUAAAAGAAAUACCAAAAUAUAACCUUUAAAAAUUUGAACAAAAGUCUCAAACAAAAAUGAAAAUUAGAAUGAAGAUAAUCUACAAAGACCAAAAUGUGAAAAGGAACCAGGAACCUAGUGAAUGAAAGACGAAUGAAGUAAACCAUAAAGUGGGGGAGAUUGCUCAGUCCACAAAGUUCCUCCAUCGCAAGUGUGAGGCCGGGAAGUACAGUGAAAGAACACCAAUCUCAGUGCAAGGUGAGCCAACAGGUGUGUAUUCCUGGGACUCAUCGGAUGGCUAGCCUAAUCUACUUAGAAACUAUAGGCCAGUAAGAGACUCUGCUUAAGCAAAGUGGCCAGCAGACCUGAAAUAAGUCAGGUGGCAUUGCACUCUUUGGCACCACCAGCAAGCUUCCAUUGAGUUCAAAUUGGAAGUUGCUUGAAGUUCAAAUGGUGACGGCUAUGAGUGAGCUAUGAGGUAAGGUUCUUUCUGUGCAUAAGAAAGAUGUACUGGGUAUUGGCAUCCUUGAAGGGCUUUCACUGUUUUUCUGAAACCUACAUGGCUACUGGAGGUCUGUCUUGCUCUUACUUAGGGCUCUCAAGAGAUGUAUGAAUGUCCUGCC
RNAcentral lists this non-coding RNA (3965 nucleotides) under Mus musculus (house mouse). The record is from RNAcentral. Lineage: Eukaryota; Metazoa; Chordata; Mammalia; Rodentia; Muridae.